GUUGGAGUAGAUAGACAAGAUGAGCAUUUUCAGUUUGAGGAAGCUGUCUUUGAUCGUUGGCCACCAGGUAUAGCAUUUAUCCUGUCAUCUUUUUUUUUUAAUCAUCAUAUUUUCUCUGACUUAAUCGAUUUGAAAUACAGCUGCUCUAUGUUCUUGUCAACCUGUCGGAUCGCUUGACUAGGGAGACACAGGUGUGAGAGGUCGAGAAAAAAGUUGAGAUAGACAUUUAGGUAGUUCGGAUGAAAAUUAAGGAACUAGAGGCUGAGACCAAGCAUCUCCA
Molecule: long non-coding RNA, 280 nt
Filed under: Elaeis guineensis (African oil palm)
Lineage: Eukaryota; Viridiplantae; Streptophyta; Magnoliopsida; Arecales; Arecaceae
Description: long non-coding RNA (EGUI_LNC030812)
Source: RNAcentral